AUUCCAGCUCCAAUAGCGUAUAUUAAUGUUGUUGCAGUUAAAAAGCUCGUAGUUGGAUUCCUGGCUCGGGGUAACCGGUCCGCCUUGCAAAAGGUGCGCACUGUGUGGCCUCGGCCAUCCUUGGGAAGAGCGGCUCUGGCAUUCGGUUGUCGGGGUCGGGAUUCCCGACGUUUACUGUGAAAAAAUCAGAGUGUUCAACGCAGGCUUACGCCUUGAAUACAUUAGCAUGGAAUAAUGAGAUAGGACCUUGGCGGUCUAUUUUGUUGGUUUGCACGCCGAGGUAAUGAUUAACAGGGACGGUUGGGGUUCUUCGUAUUCAAUUGUCAGAGGUGAAAUUCUUGGAUUUAUGGAAGACGAACUGCUGCGAAAGCGUCGAACAAGGACGUUCUCAUUG
Molecule: ribosomal RNA, 394 nt
Filed under: Pelagophyceae sp.
Lineage: Eukaryota; Pelagophyceae
Description: partial small subunit ribosomal RNA
Rfam family: Eukaryotic small subunit ribosomal RNA
Source: RNAcentral